AAUUCCAAUAACUUGAUUCUGAGAUGGGUUCUUCAUGCCGAUGGAAGAUUUCCCACUUCAGAUACAAAUUGGAAGAGAAGACUGCUAUGCCAGAUCAAUUGUUUAAACUGUGAAGUAUUUAUAGGAAAAAGUUUAUGGGAGGUAAAUCUUUAACCUUUUUAUGGCAUGGGUCAUGUAAGGUUCAUCAAUGACAGUAAGGGCAAGACAAAGGACAUUUAAAAAUAAGAAAAAUUAACCGAUAAGCUUUAGCUCAGUGGUGCUACAUUUGUAUCCAAAACUGUGAAAUCUUAAGUUUGAGUCUCAGUUAAAGCCAAAAAAAUAAAUAAGAAAAAUGAGAAGAUGGAAAGCUCUAGUUGCUUUAGAAAAGUUGUUGUACAAAGGUUCAAGCUUCCAUUUAAGAAAUUCUACAAGGAAAAGGGUUAGGCGUUCAAACACAGCUAGUUUUUGUAUCCCAAGUAGCUGGAACAAAU
Molecule: unclassified non-coding RNA, 470 nt
Filed under: Hevea brasiliensis (rubber tree)
Lineage: Eukaryota; Viridiplantae; Streptophyta; Magnoliopsida; Malpighiales; Euphorbiaceae
Source: RNAcentral